GUGGGAGCGGGAGCGGGUAAGGAACAUGGCCAACCGUUGACUAUGCAACGGCAGUGUUUGUGCCGUUCCCAUUUUCCAGUCGCUUUGCGUUGUUUGUUUUGUAAAACAGGCACGCUCAGCCGAGCUGCAGCUCCUCUCGCUGCUCUUCGUCGCCAGGCAGCAACAGCAACAACAACAACAACAGAAUUAACCUGCAUGCAGCACCCGCCCCCGUUGAAAGCAUUGCAUAAAGCACACGAAACACAUACGCAGAAGCGAGCGCGAGAGCGAAGGAGAGAGCGCGAGCAGUCGUUACAAACAUUGUUGUUGUCUGUUAGUAUGUUGCAAUGGGCUCUCUCUCUCUCUCUCUGGUCUAUUUGCGCUCACGCGCAGCUUAAACUGUUCCCAAAAGAUGUGAGCGGAUAGGAACAGUUAAUCAUAUAAAACAUUUAUAAAUAUUGAGCCCAAUUAAACGAGCAAAUAAUUUUUA
Drosophila montana is the source of this 469-nucleotide long non-coding RNA. RefSeq lists it as uncharacterized. NCBI's taxonomy places the organism in Eukaryota, Metazoa, Arthropoda, Insecta, Diptera, Drosophilidae. The record is from RefSeq and is a predicted model, not a curated record. The transcript is spliced from 2 exons.